CACGCAGGCGGUCUGUCAAGUCGGAUGUGAAAUCCCCGGGCUCAACCUGGGAACUGCAUUCGAAACUGGCAGGCUUGAGUCUUGUAGAGGGGGGUAGAAUUCCAGGUGUAGCGGUGAAAUGCGUAGAGAUCUGGAGGAAUACCGGUGGCGAAGGCGGCCCCCUGGACAAAGACUGACGCUCAGGUGCGAAAGCGUGGGGAGCAAACAGGAUUAGAUACCCUGGUAGUCCACGCCGUAAACGAUGUCUACUUGGAGGUUGUGCCCUUGAGGCGUGGCUUCCGGAGCUAACGCGUUAAGUAGACCGCCUGGGGAGUACGGCCGCAAGGUUAAAACUCAAAUGAAUUGACGGGGGCCCGCACAAGCGGUGGAGCAUGUGGUUUAAUUCGAUGCAACGCGAAGAACCUUACCUGGUCUUGACAUCCACAGAAGAAUCCAGAGAUGGAUUUGUGCCUUCGGGAACUGUGAGACAGGUGCUGCAUGGCUGUCGUCAGCUCGUGUUGUGAAAUGUUGGGUUAAGUCCCGCAACGAGCGCAACCCUUAUCCUUUGUUGCCAGCGAUUAGG
Molecule: ribosomal RNA, 562 nt
Filed under: Salmonella enterica subsp. enterica serovar Corvallis
Lineage: Bacteria; Pseudomonadati; Pseudomonadota; Gammaproteobacteria; Enterobacterales; Enterobacteriaceae
Description: bacterial SSU rRNA
Rfam family: Bacterial small subunit ribosomal RNA
Source: RNAcentral